CAAUAAGCGGAGGAAAAGAAACUAACAAGGAUUCCCCUAGUAACUGCGAGUGAAGCGGGAAAAGCUCAAAUUUAAAAUCUGUCAGUCUUUGGCUGUCCGAGUUGUAAUCUAGAGAAGUGUUAUCCGCGCUGGACCGUGUACAAGUCUCCUGGAAUGGAGCGUCAUAGAGGGUGAGAAUCCCGUCUUUGACACGGACUGCCAGGGCUUUGUGAUGCGCUCUCAAAGAGUCGAGUUGUUUGGGAAUGCAGCUCAAAAUGGGUGGUAAAUUCCAUCUAAAGCUAAAUAUUGGCGAGAGACCGAUAGCGAACAAGUACCGUGAGGGAAAGAUGAAAAGAACUUUGGAAAGAGAGUUAAACAGUACGUGAAAUUGCUGAAAGGGAAACGCUUGAAGUCAGUCGCGUUGUUCAGGGAUCAGCCUUGCUUUUGCUUGGUGUACUUUCUGGUCAACGGGUCAGCAUCAAUUUUGACCGUUGGAAAAAGGUCAGGGGAAUGUGGCAUCUUUAGAUGUGUUAUAGCCCUUGGUUGUAUACAAUGGUUGGGAUUGAGGAACUCAGCACGCCGCAAGGCCGAGUAAUUUUACUACGUACGUGCUUAGGAUGCUGGCAUAAUGGCUUUAAUCGACCCGUCUUGAAACACGGACCAAGGAGUCUAACAUGCCUGCGAGUGUUUGGGUGGAAAACCCGAGCGCGUAAUGAAAGUGAAAGUUGAGAUCCCUGUCGUGGGGAGCAUCGACGCCCGGACCAGACCUUUUGUGACGGUUCCGCGGUAGAGCAUGUAUGUUGGGACCCGAAAGAUGGUGAACUAUGCCUGAAUAGGGUGAAGCCAGAGGAAACUCUGGUGGAGGCUCGUAGCGAUUCUGACGUGCAAAUCGAUCGUCAAAUUUGGGUAUAGGGGCGAAAGACUAAUCGAACCAUCUAGUAGCUGGUUCC
RNAcentral lists this ribosomal RNA (929 nucleotides) under Phlegmacium georgiolens. RNAcentral describes it as "Cortinarius georgiolens partial large subunit ribosomal RNA". It matches the Rfam family "Eukaryotic large subunit ribosomal RNA", at positions 44 to 958 of the family's 3401-position model. The record is from RNAcentral. Lineage: Eukaryota; Fungi; Basidiomycota; Agaricomycetes; Agaricales; Cortinariaceae.